UCCAAACCCUCUGAACUGUUCCAGUUUGC
RNAcentral lists this non-coding RNA (29 nucleotides) under Mus musculus (house mouse). The record is from RNAcentral. Lineage: Eukaryota; Metazoa; Chordata; Mammalia; Rodentia; Muridae.